Molecule: transfer RNA, 71 nt
Filed under: Marmota monax (woodchuck)
Lineage: Eukaryota; Metazoa; Chordata; Mammalia; Rodentia; Sciuridae
Description: tRNA.Ala
Source: RNAcentral
GCUGCAUUGUGGCUUAGUGGUAGAGUACUUGCCUAGCACGUGUGAGGCCCUGGGUUAAAACCAGGGCACCA